RNAcentral lists this ribosomal RNA (467 nucleotides) under uncultured bacterium. RNAcentral's name for it is "partial 16S ribosomal RNA". It matches the Rfam family "Bacterial small subunit ribosomal RNA", at positions 28 to 507 of the family's 1533-position model. The record is from RNAcentral.
GACGAACGCUGGCGGCGUGCUUAACACAUGCAAGUCGAACGGAAAGGCCCGCUUUUGUGGGGUGCUCGAGUGGCGAACGGGUGAGUAACACGUGAGUAACCUGCCCUUGACUUUGGGAUAACUUCAGGAAACUGGGGCUAAUACCGGAUAGGAGCUCCUGCUGCAUGGUGGGGGUUGGAAAGUUUCGGCGGUUGGGGAUGGACUCGCGGCUUAUCAGCUUGUUGGUGGGGUAGUGGCUUACCAAGGCUUUGACGGGUAGCCGGCCUGAGAGGGUGACCGGCCACAUUGGGACUGAGAUACGGCCCAGACUCCUACGGGAGGCAGCAGUGGGGAAUAUUGCACAAUGGGCGGAAGCCUGAUGCAGCAACGCCGCGUGCGGGAUGACGGCCUUCGGGUUGUAAACCGCUUUCGCCUGUGACGAAGCGUGAGUGACGGUAAUGGGUAAAGAAGCACCGGCUAACUACGUG